CUGAAUAAUAAGCUUAAUCGUAUAGAGCGGGGGAAUCAUUAUCGGCAGUAAAGCUGCCUUGGGGUGAAUCCUUACAAAAGGUAGGAAACUCUCAAUUCCGAAUCCGACAGUUAACCCCGUUUGCUUUAUUGAGAGAAAGA
RNAcentral lists this small RNA (140 nucleotides) under Priestia megaterium. Its description in RNAcentral is "Bacillus megaterium c-di-AMP sequence". It matches the Rfam family "c-di-AMP riboswitch aptamer (ydaO/yuaA leader)". From Rfam's summary of the family: This family represents a conserved RNA structure found upstream of the ydaO and yuaA genes in Bacillus subtilis and related genes in other bacteria. Lineage: Bacteria; Bacillati; Bacillota; Bacilli; Caryophanales; Bacillaceae. The record is from RNAcentral. RNAcentral also lists the same sequence under 1 other name.